This 497-nucleotide ribosomal RNA is filed under the name uncultured bacterium. RNAcentral describes it as "partial 16S ribosomal RNA". It matches the Rfam family "Bacterial small subunit ribosomal RNA", at positions 28 to 507 of the family's 1533-position model. The record is from RNAcentral.
GAUGAACGCUGGCGGCGUGCCUAAUACAUGCAAGUCGAGCGAACAGACGAGGAGCUUGCUCCUCUGACGUUAGCGGCGGACGGGUGAGUAACACGUGGAUAACCUACCUAUAAGACUGGGAUAACUUCGGGAAACCGGAGCUAAUACCGGAUAAUAUAUUGAACCGCAUGGUUCAAUAGUGAAGGACGGUUUUGCUGUCACUUAUAGAUGGAUCCGCGCCGCAUUAGCUAGUUGGUAAGGUAACGGCUUACCAAGGCGACGAUGCGUAGCCGACCUGAGAGGGGGAUCGGCCACACUGGAACUGAGACACGGUCCAGACUCCUACGGGAGGCAGCAGUAGGGAAUCUUCCGCAAUGGGCGAAAGCCUGACGGAGCAACGCCGCGUGAGUGAUGAAGGUCUUCGGAUCGUAAAACUCUGUUAUUAGGGAAGAACAAAUGUGUAAGUAACUAUGCACGUCUUGACGGUACCUAAUCAGAAAGCCACGGCUAACUACGUG